UGGGGAAUAUUGGACAAUGGGGGCAACCCUGAUCCAGCAAUGCCGCGUGUGUGAAGAAGGUCUUCGGAUUGUAAAGCACUUUCGACGGGGACGAUGAUGACGGUACCCGUAGAAGAAGCCCCGGCUAACUUCGUGCCAGCAGCCGCGGUAAUACGAAGGGGGCUAGCGUUGCUCGGAAUGACUGGGCGUAAAGGGCGUGUAGGCGGUUUACACAGUCAGAUGUGAAAUCCCCGGGCUUAACCCGGGAGCUGCAUUUGAUACGUGUAGACUAGAGUGUGAGAGAGGGUUGUGGAAUUCCCAGUGUAGAGGUGAAAUUCGUAGAUAUUGGGAAGAACACCGGUGGCGAAGGCGGCAACCUGGCUCAUGACUGACGCUGAGGCGCGAAAGCGUGGGGAGCAAACAGGAUUAGAUACCCUGGUAGUCCACGCUGUAAAACG
This 437-nucleotide ribosomal RNA is filed under the name uncultured bacterium. Its description in RNAcentral is "partial 16S ribosomal RNA". It matches the Rfam family "Bacterial small subunit ribosomal RNA", at positions 355 to 809 of the family's 1533-position model. The record is from RNAcentral.